UACAAAGUAGGUUGACAAAGGAGGCUUGCAAAGUGACGUGUACGGCUCAUAUCAGAAGGCAUUGGACGGCUGAGAUGUUGGCAGAAAUCUUUACCCAUUUACUGACCCAUUCAGAAAUUCAAACGCCAUUUACUACCCAUUUAGAAAUUGAAACCAGAAUAGAAGAGAGACGAAAAUUCUCAAAUUAGGGCGGCAAAAGCGAAGCGGGAUUCCAAUUGAUUUUCACGUUAUUUGUUUCAUCGAAGAAUCCGGCAUUGAACGUGAUUGCUCGUCCCGUCCAUCUUCUCCAUCUGUGAAAUCGGAAUAUGUAGCAACUCGAGUAUCCGGAAGCAACUCAUAAUAGUCGUGAUAUGAUGUGGUUCACCACUCACCGAAAGAGUAGAUACCAAUAAAAAUAGGCACAAACAAUUCAUGGAAAUGAAGUCGUGAACAAAAACUUGAGACCUUGGUUCUAUUUUCACCCAACAAUUGGGUGAAAUUUGAGUGGACAAGCCGUGGAAAAAGUAGUAGCGUGAAUGCCUUUUGUGAAGCUAUGAAAUUAGGUUGUGAGGCAAAGGAUUAUCAGUUCUUAUGGAGGUUCCGUAAGAGUAGAAAUAGCCAGAGCAGACUAUAGAAGUUCUCUAAAUAUAUAUACACAUGUAAAUAAACUUGUGGAGGUAGCCUACUGUCUAUCUCUGAAAAAACUAUAUGAUCUACAUGGUUUUCUUAUGUAUAAGAAAUGGAAUUAAUGUAUGUAAAUAUUAGCAAGUAUAAAAUUCUUGUUUUCUCCGUAAAAUA
This is a long non-coding RNA of Olea europaea var. sylvestris, 777 nucleotides long. RefSeq lists it as uncharacterized. The record is from RefSeq and is a predicted model, not a curated record. NCBI's taxonomy places the organism in Eukaryota, Viridiplantae, Streptophyta, Magnoliopsida, Lamiales, Oleaceae. The transcript is spliced from 2 exons.